RNAcentral lists this unclassified non-coding RNA (167 nucleotides) under soil metagenome. Its description in RNAcentral is "partial contains 5.8S ribosomal RNA, internal transcribed spacer 2, and large subunit ribosomal RNA". The record is from RNAcentral.
AACGGUCUAUACCUGCGGUACCUGCGGAGGGAUCAUUAGUGAACGCCCUCACGGGCUUAUAACUAUUCCGAACCUCUGUGAACCGUGCCCUUCGGGGCUAUUUUACAAACAUGGUGUAAUGAACGUCAUAUAUCAUAACAAAACAAAACUUUUAACAACGGAUCUCU